GACGAACGCUGGCGGCGUGCUUAACACAUGCGAGUCGAACGCUGAAGCUCAGCUUGCUGGGUGGAUGAGUGGCGAACGGGUGAGUAACACGUGAGUAACCUGCCCUCUUCUUUGGGAUAACGUCCGGAAACGGGUGCUAAUACUGGAUAUUCACUGAUUCUCGCAUGGGGGUUGGUGGAAAGGUUUUUUCUGGUGGGGGAUGGGCUCGCGGCCUAUCAGCUUGUUGGUGGGGUGAUGGCCUACCAAGGCUUUGACGGGUAGCCGGCCUGAGAGGGUGACCGGUCACAUUGGGACUGAGAUACGGCCCAGACUCCUACGGGAGGCAGCAGUGGGGAAUAUUGCACAAUGGGCGAAAGCCUGAUGCAGCGACGCCGCGUGAGGGAUGGAGGCCUUCGGGUUGUAAACCUCUUUCGCUCAUGGUCAAGCCGCAGCUUUGGGUUGUGGUGAGGGUAGUGGGUAAAGAAGCGCCGGCUAACUACGUG
Molecule: ribosomal RNA, 482 nt
Filed under: uncultured bacterium
Lineage: Bacteria
Description: partial 16S ribosomal RNA
Rfam family: Bacterial small subunit ribosomal RNA
Source: RNAcentral